Molecule: RNA transcript, 1064 nt
Organism: Coffea eugenioides
Lineage: Eukaryota; Viridiplantae; Streptophyta; Magnoliopsida; Gentianales; Rubiaceae
Gene name: putative pre-16S rRNA nuclease
Exons: 7
Source: RefSeq, a predicted model, not a curated record
UCUUCUCCACUACUCAUUUUAGCUCGGCGGAGACUCCCCUCUUCAGUAAUAGUCCAUGAAUGCAGCGGCUGCAGUGACUAACGCCAUCACCAGAUUACCUUUUCCACCCCCAAUUGGAUACUCUUUUGCCCAAAAUGAGAACCCCAGACGCGUUAUCGAGUCUCUGCGCUUUCCUUCAACUUCGUCUUCUGCAGCAGUGAAAACAGUAUCUUUAUCUUUGGAACAAGAGUUUCGGCCUAAUGCCCUUCGCAAGAAGCAAGAUUCCUCAUCCAGAUGUGGGUUCAGCCUAGGGGUAGACCUGGGUCUUUCGCGGACGGGCCUUGCCAUCAGCAAAGGCUUUGUAAUUCGUCCCUUAACUGUUCUUGAAUUAAGAGGCCAAAAGCUGGAGCUUCGUCUACUUGAUAUUGCUCAAAACCAGGAGGUUGACGAGUUCAUAAUAGGGCUUCCAAUAUCUAUUGAUGGGAGAGAAACACCACAGUCGAAUAAAGUCCGUAGUGUUGCUGGUAGACUUGCCGUCCGGGCUGCUGAGAGGGGCUUGAGAGUGUACUUGCAGGAUGAAUAUGGGACCUCAACUGAGGCACUUGACCGUAUGAUAGACAUGGGACACAGCAAGUCUGGUCGCCGGGGGAGGAUUGAUGCCUAUGCAGCUGCGAUGGUGCUCGAAAAGUACUUUUCAGAGUCAGGAGGAGGAGUUGAACUUGUCUUGCCCAAGCAGUUGGACCUCCAAAACAAACUUAGAGGUUGUGCUGCCAGGAAUGUUGAGUCGUUUUAAGCGGAUCUUUGCUACUCAGAAAUUUGCAUUAUGUUUUCAUGCGUUCAUAAUUCUUUUAUUCUUUUUUAUCUCAGAUCGGGGAAAGCUAUGGAAGCGUUCUUAAAAGCAAUUUUCUGGAAGAGCAACAGGUUGAAACUGCGUUGUAGCACUGAGUCAGCAAUCAAUUAUUUAUUACAACGUAUUUCAGACAUCAAGAUUCCAAUUAUCAAUGCGUCCAACUUCUUUUCCUUGUAUAAAACAUUUGGUUGAUCAAAUUUCUUAUCCCUGCCUAAAAUGUACAAAUCGAUUGUUA